This 255-nucleotide ribosomal RNA is filed under the name uncultured bacterium. RNAcentral describes it as "partial 16S ribosomal RNA". It matches the Rfam family "Bacterial small subunit ribosomal RNA", at positions 524 to 776 of the family's 1533-position model. The record is from RNAcentral.
UACGUAGGGUGCAAGCAUUAUCCGGAGUGACUGGGCGUAAAGAGUUGCGUAGGUGGUUCGUAAAGUGAAUAGUGAAAUCUGGUGGCUCAACCAUACAGGCUAUUAUUCAAACUCACGAACUCGAGAGUGGUAGAGGUAACUGGAAUUUCUAGUGUAGGAGUGAAAUCCGUAGAUAUUAGAAGGAACACCAAUGGCGUAGGCAGGUUACUGGACCAUUUCUGACACUGAGGCACGAAAGCGUGGGGAGCGAACCGG